UAGGGAAUCUUCCACAAUGGACGAAAGUCUGAUGGAGCAACGCUGCGUGAGUGAAGAAGGGUUUCGGCUCGUAAAACUCUGUUGUUAAAGAAGAACAUAUCUGAGAGUAACUGUUCAGGUAUUGACGGUAUUUAACCAGAAAGCCACGGCUAACUACGUGCCAG
RNAcentral lists this ribosomal RNA (164 nucleotides) under uncultured bacterium. RNAcentral's name for it is "partial 16S ribosomal RNA". It matches the Rfam family "Bacterial small subunit ribosomal RNA", at positions 355 to 511 of the family's 1533-position model. The record is from RNAcentral.